GUGGCCUUAGUUCAGUUGGUAGAACUCGAGAUUGUGAUUCUCGUAGUCGUGGAUUCGAAUUCCACAGGUCACC
This 73-nucleotide transfer RNA is filed under the name Escherichia phage EcS1. It matches the Rfam family "tRNA". From Rfam's summary of the family: Transfer RNA (tRNA) molecules are approximately 80 nucleotides in length. Their secondary structure includes four short double-helical elements and three loops (D, anti-codon, and T loops). The record is from Rfam by way of RNAcentral. Lineage: Duplodnaviria; Heunggongvirae; Uroviricota; Caudoviricetes; Pantevenvirales; Straboviridae.